AGACCCGAAACCCGGUGAUCUAGCCAUGGGCAGGUUGAAGGUUGGGUAACACUAACUGGAGGACCGAACCGACUAAUGUUGAAAAAUUAGCGGAUGACCUGUGGCUGGGGGUGAAAGGCCAAUCAAACCGGGAGAUAGCUGGUUCUCCCCGAAAGCUAUUUAGGUAGCGCCUCGUGAAUUCAUCUCCGGGGGUAGAGCACUGUUUCGGCUAGGGGGCCAUCCCGGCUUACCAACCCGAUGCAAACUGCGAAUACCGGAGAAUGUUAUCACGGGAGACACACGGCGGGUGCUAACGUCCGUCGUGAAGAGGGAAACAACCCAGACCGCCAGCUAAGGUCCCAAAGUCAUGGUUAAGUGGGAAACGAUGUGGGAAGGCCCAGACAGCCAGGAUGUUGGCUUAGAAGCAGCCAUCAUUUAAAGAAAGCGUAAUAGCUCACUGGUCGAGUCGGCCUGCGCGGAAGAUGUAACGGGGCUAAACCAUGCACCGAAGCUGCGGCAGCGAACGUAUCACCCAAGACAACUUUACGGAGUUGACGAUUGACGGAGCGAAGCGACGUCAAAGCGUUCAUUAAAGUCGAGUUGGCUUAGGGAUACGUUCGUUG
Molecule: ribosomal RNA, 602 nt
Filed under: Salmonella enterica
Lineage: Bacteria; Pseudomonadati; Pseudomonadota; Gammaproteobacteria; Enterobacterales; Enterobacteriaceae
Also listed under: 2 other names
Description: partial 23S ribosomal RNA
Rfam family: Bacterial large subunit ribosomal RNA
Source: RNAcentral